RNAcentral lists this long non-coding RNA (511 nucleotides) under Equus asinus (donkey). RNAcentral describes it as "lncRNA (ENSEASG00005027526.1)". Lineage: Eukaryota; Metazoa; Chordata; Mammalia; Perissodactyla; Equidae. The record is from RNAcentral.
GACUUCCAGCUGGAGCAGCCCAGCCUGCCCGCGCAUUCGCUUGCUCGCGCUAGGUUUAAGAGCGCGGGGAGAUUGAAAGAAGAUGUGAGCUGAAUGCACCCCAUGUGAACCUUGUAACUCUAAUCUCCAAGGGAACCAGGAACUUAACGACGCCUCAGCCACCUCUGAGGAAACACAUCCAGAGCAGACCUGAUUUGGAUAUCUACCAAGAAUCUACAGAAGUUGACAGAGACUGACCAUCAUAGAGACGCAGACACUCAGUGAUAUACAAUUGGAGACACAAAAUUGGAAGAAAGGGAAGGCCAAAUUUCCCAUGGUGAUGCAGGAAUUGGGAGCCCAGAUGAGGAACCAUCUCGAAUAGCAUUCCUGGCACUGCAUCAGCACAGGGAAAAUAGAGAUAAAUAAGAUACUUUCCUGCUUUGAAGGAGCCUUAUAAGGUCUUGGGAAAUUUGAAGAAAAUGAGAGGAAAGCAAAGAUGCUUCCAAGGGGACAUCCUAAUACAGUAAUUCUG